Molecule: ribosomal RNA, 465 nt
Filed under: uncultured bacterium
Lineage: Bacteria
Description: partial 16S ribosomal RNA
Rfam family: Bacterial small subunit ribosomal RNA
Source: RNAcentral
GACGAACGCUGGCGGCGUGCUUAACACAUGCAAGUCGAACGGAAAGGCCCCUUUGGGGGUACUCGAGUGGCGAACGGGUGAGUAACACGUGAGUAACCUGCCCUUGACUUCGGGAUAACUUCAGGAAACUGGGGCUAAUACCGGAUAGGAAUCCUUGCUGCAUGGUGGGGGUUGGAAAGCUUCGGCGGUUUUGGAUGGACUGGCGGCUUAUCAGCUUGUUGGUGGGGUAGUGGCUUACCAAGGCUUUGACGGGUAGCCGGCCUGAGAGGGCGACCGGCCACAUUGGGACUGAGAUACGGCCCAGACUCCUACGGGAGGCAGCAGUGGGGAAGAUUGCACAAUGGGCGGAAGCCGGAUGCAGCAACGCCGCGUGCGGGAUGACGGCCUUCGGGUUGUAAACCGCUUUCAGCAGGGGCGAAGCUUGUGGUGACGGUACCUGCAGAAGAAGCACCGGCUAACUACGUG